AUUGAACGCUGGCGGCAGGCCUAACACAUGCAAGUCGAACGGUUACAGUUAUCCGCUUGCUGCUUUGCUGACGAGUUGCGGACUUGUGAGUAAUGUCUGGGAAACUGCCUGAUGGAGGGGGAUACCUACUGGAAACGGUAGCUAAUACCGCCUAACGUCGCAAGACCAAAGAGGGGGACCUUCGGGCCUCUUGCCUUCGGAUGUGCCCAGAUGGGAUUAGGUAGUAGGUGGGGUUACUGCUCACCUAGGCGACGAUCUCUAGCUGGAAUGACAGGAUGACAAGCACGCCUGGAAGUGAGACAAGGUCAAGAGUCGUAGGGGAGGCAGAAGAGGGGAAAAUUGAACAAAGGGCGCAAGCGGGAUGCAGACAGGCAGCGUGUAUGAAGAAGGCCUUCGGGUUGUAAAAUACUUUCAGAGGGGAGGAAGGGAAUAAAGUUAAGACCUUAGCUCAUUGACGUUACCCGCAGAAGAAGCACCGGCUAACUCCGUG
This 490-nucleotide ribosomal RNA is filed under the name uncultured bacterium. RNAcentral's name for it is "partial 16S ribosomal RNA". It matches the Rfam family "Bacterial small subunit ribosomal RNA", at positions 30 to 507 of the family's 1533-position model. The record is from RNAcentral.